UACAGAGGGUGCGAGCGUUAAUCGGAUUUACUGGGCGUAAAGGGCGCGUAGGCGGUUUAGUGAGUGUGGUGUGAAAGCCCCGGGCUUAACCUGGGAAGUGCAUCGCAAACGACUAAACUGGAGUAUAAGAGAGGGUGGCGGAAUUUCCGGUGUAGCGGUGAAAUGCGUAGAGAUCGGAAGGAACGUCAAUGGCGAAGGCAGCCACCUGGCUUAAUACUGACGCUGAGGCGCGAAAGCGUGGGGAUCAAACAGG
Molecule: ribosomal RNA, 253 nt
Filed under: uncultured bacterium
Lineage: Bacteria
Also listed under: 2 other names
Description: partial 16S ribosomal RNA
Rfam family: Bacterial small subunit ribosomal RNA
Source: RNAcentral